CAUCUUAAAGAAAGAAAAAAAAACACGCUCAGCCCUCGCUCACAUGAAAAUCAGAAGCGCCCUAAUCAAUUGCUCUCUAUCUUUCUUCUCAAUUCUACAUAUCAUUAUCCCUAAACUCAUUCAAUUUUCUCCUUCCUAAACGAUACUGUAACAGUCCUAAACGAAAUUAACCCUUUUCCCUUCUUAAAAGAAAUUCAUAUCGCUCUUUCUCUCUUUUCAUUGAUACGGACAUAGUGGAGGGAAGGGGAAGCACGAUUAUGCUAUAGAGUCGGCUGUAAGGGAGGCAGUUGUAAACGGAGUGACGAUCUUGAUGGCCACAACAGUCAAUCGAUGACUGUGCAUAUAGAUUCUUUCCAUCUCAAAAUUCUUCUCAGUAUCCAACCCUAACUUCAUACAUUGCCGGAAAAUCAGGAGCUAUGAGCAUAUCGACGACCCAUUUAGGAAGAUCCAAAUGUGUCGACGCUGACACACACGUGCUUCUCGACGGUGACGCAACCCCACCCUCGAACGAAUACAGGUUUCUCGGCGACGGGGAUGCAACCCUAGAUCGGAACAGCACGUGCUUAAUAAUAGAUGUGAACUUACAAAUUGCUUAUCUCACUUGGGAAAAAGGAAUCACCAUAUGGAAAGCUAUAUAGAGAAAGGAAGGAACGAAUGAGGAGGAAAUAGAUACAGAGAGGAUGGACAAGAGAGAUAGAAAUAUGACUGAGAUCUCACUUCCAAGAUCGAUGCGGUUCUUAUUGUUGUUGUCCUUAAUUUUUGAACAAAUAUUUACAGGAUGGAGCACAAUCACAUGGAGUUGCUACAAAAUCUCACAAUGUUUGAUUUUUGGAAUGUUGUUGAUCUUGAAGUUAGGAACAUUAUGUUCUGAGUACUAGCACUAUUUAAACUUAUUAUUUGUUCAAGACAUUUGUGUUUUAGUUAUUGAGAAUAUUAUUUGUGUUUUAGUUAUUGAGAAUAUUAUUAUAGGAAAAGUUUGAAUUGAAGUAAAGAUGUUGUGUUUUACAUUUAUUA
This is a long non-coding RNA of Lactuca sativa (garden lettuce), 1014 nucleotides long. RefSeq lists it as uncharacterized. NCBI's taxonomy places the organism in Eukaryota, Viridiplantae, Streptophyta, Magnoliopsida, Asterales, Asteraceae. The record is from RefSeq and is a predicted model, not a curated record.